RNAcentral lists this ribosomal RNA (725 nucleotides) under Microbacterium schleiferi. Its description in RNAcentral is "bacterial SSU rRNA". It matches the Rfam family "Bacterial small subunit ribosomal RNA", at positions 84 to 823 of the family's 1533-position model. Lineage: Bacteria; Bacillati; Actinomycetota; Actinomycetes; Micrococcales; Microbacteriaceae. The record is from RNAcentral.
CUGCUGGAUCAGUGGCGAACGGGUGAGUAACACGUGAGCAAUCUGCCCCUGACUCUGGGAUAAGCGCUGGAAACGGCGUCUAAUACCGGAUACGAGCUGCGAAGGCAUCUUCAGCAGCUGGAAAGAAUUUCGGUCAGGGAUGAGCUCGCGGCCUAUCAGCUUGUUGGUGAGGUAACGGCUCACCAAGGCGUCGACGGGUAGCCGGCCUGAGAGGGUGACCGGCCACACUGGGACUGAGACACGGCCCAGACUCCUACGGGAGGCAGCAGUGGGGAAUAUUGCACAAUGGGCGAAAGCCUGAUGCAGCAACGCCGCGUGAGGGACGACGGCCUUCGGGUUGUAAACCUCUUUUAGCAGGGAAGAAGCGAAAGUGACGGUACCUGCAGAAAAAGCACCGGCUAACUACGUGCCAGCAGCCGCGGUAAUACGUAGGGUGCAAGCGUUAUCCGGAAUUAUUGGGCGUAAAGAGCUCGUAGGCGGUUUGUCGCGUCUGCUGUGAAAACUGGAGGCUCAACCUCCAGCCUGCAGUGGGUACGGGCAGACUAGAGUGCGGUAGGGGAGAUUGGAAUUCCUGGUGUAGCGGUGGAAUGCGCAGAUAUCAGGAGGAACACCGAUGGCGAAGGCAGAUCUCUGGGCCGUAACUGACGCUGAGGAGCGAAAGGGUGGGGAGCAAACAGGCUUAGAUACCCUGGUAGUCCACCCCGUAAACGUUGGGAACUAGUUGU